ACCUGGCUCACAAAGGAGAACCACCCAGCUGAUAGUAGACUGGGUAAAAGAGGAGAAGAAGAGGUAGACAGGACAGAGAGGAUGAAAGAGAGAGAGAGAAACAUACAUGUGUGGCAGGUGGAGUGUUGCUCCAACCUCCACGUCCAAUUGUCCCACCUGACUCUGAUUGCGCAGGGGGCGUUACCUGUUAAUUGGCCGCGUUCACACCGGCGCACACAUUGUUGUUCGGCGUUCGCGGCCGGAGGUUUUCGUCUGGUACUGCGGUGAUCGGCACCAAACGGUGAUCCACACGCGGUGUCUGCUGUGUUGUGUGUGGUCCCUCCUGAGGAUCGUUUGGUGGUGUGCGCUCUCUGCCCUCGCCGUCAGACGUGCCUGCAUAGUGCGCAGGGUGUGCGUGAGUCUUCUUCAUCUGGCACUGAGGCCAUAGUUAGCACCUUUUCUUCGGCUCUGGCGCUCCGCGGGGGUUGCAAGCUCCGCCAGUGAAAUGGUCCAUCAGCUGAGCAUUCUGUAAGACGGCGAUUCGCCGUCUCCAGCCCCGGUGCAGUCGCUCCGUCUCUACUCCGUCUCUGGGGACUGGUAG
Molecule: long non-coding RNA, 580 nt
Organism: Scatophagus argus
Lineage: Eukaryota; Metazoa; Chordata; Actinopteri; Scatophagidae
Exons: 3
Source: RefSeq, a predicted model, not a curated record